RNAcentral lists this ribosomal RNA (253 nucleotides) under uncultured bacterium. RNAcentral's name for it is "partial 16S ribosomal RNA". It matches the Rfam family "Bacterial small subunit ribosomal RNA", at positions 524 to 776 of the family's 1533-position model. The record is from RNAcentral.
UACGGAGACUGCAAGCGUUAUUCAGAUUCACUGGGCGUAAAGAAUGCGCAGGCGGUCGGGUGUGUCAGGUGUGAAAUCUCGGAGCUCAACUCCGAAACUGCGCCUGAAACUACACGACUAGAGUAUCGGAGAGGUGAGCGGAAUUCAUGGUGUAGCAGUGAAAUGCGUAGAUAUCAUGAGGAACACCAGAGGCGAAGGCGGCUCACUGGACGAUUACUGACGCUCAGGCACGAAAGCAUGGGGAGCAAACAGG